RNAcentral lists this unclassified non-coding RNA (2637 nucleotides) under Ooceraea biroi (clonal raider ant). RNAcentral's name for it is "protein Skeletor, isoforms B/C, transcript variant X7". Lineage: Eukaryota; Metazoa; Arthropoda; Insecta; Hymenoptera; Formicidae. The record is from RNAcentral.
CCUGUAAGUAAUGUCAGAUCGUCAUUUAUUACUCUGAAUCACGAUGUAUGGUUAUUUAGACGCGAUUUUUCAAUUCGAAAAUGUCAAACCCGGAAUAGCGAAGUUGCAUGAAGUUUAACGUACAAAUCGUAUGCGGCGUAAUGAGGUGAGAUGCGAGCGGCCAGACGAGACGAAGAUGAGCAAGACGGUUUCCAGGUUAGAUCAGAACUUCUUCUCUCUUGAUUGCCGCACAAGCGCAACCAGCCCGCAUACCAGUCCAUCCAUGAAGGAAUGGAAAGCAGCUCCUCGCCGCGAAAUCUGACGAAUUCAAUCCAAAGGAAGGUACAAAGCUGCGCCUCUGCAUAGAACAAUCCAAUUGGCAAUGUUAAAAAAACAAGAGAAAGACAGAGAGAAAGGAACGGGAAUGGUGAAGCAAGGCGAGCCGGUGAUCGCGUAGUGGGACCAACAAAGUUACCUGGAUCGACAACAGAUACUUUUCUCGGCAGUAACCACCAAGACACCAUGACGACACGAUCACUCGCGUCGCCCCCGAUGCGACGACCGUCGGCCGUUGGUCUAAUCACCGCGUUUCUCCUUGUCGCGGCAGCACAAAUAUGUAGCGGAGCGUAUUACGGAAAAUUGCUCGGUAAAUUGUCUGAACUUCAUCAUGGCGUGAGUGGCGAAGUUUAUGCCGUUGAUGCAAGGACGCUAUUUAUCAAGGAUUUUACCUACGAUGGCGAAGGUCCAGCUGCCUUUUUUUAUGCUGGGAACGGCAAAGGACCAAGCAACAACAACGGGUUCCGAGUGCGAGACGAACACGGAACUACGAACGUUCUCAAACGGUACCGCAGGAAGGACAUCACGCUGACCUUACCAGAGGGCAAGACCUUGAACAAUAUCAAAUGGUUUUCGGUUUGGUGCGAGGAGUUCUCAGUAAAUUUCGGUGACGUUAAAAUACCGCGAGGCUUUGACUAUCCGAAACCACUGAAACUGAAAUCAUUGAGCGGCAUACACGGCGUCGGUUCGGAGCCGGUCGUUAUCGUGGAUGCUCAAACUCUUCUGAUACCUAGCUUCAGUUACGACGGAGAAGCACCUGAUGCCAAGUUCUGGGUAGGCGCGGGUCCGACGCCCUCGCCGCAAGGUAUCCGGGUACCCGACGAGAACGGAAAGGAGCAACCGUUGCGCCGCUACGACCGCAAGACGAUCGUUCUGACAUUACCAGGUGACUUGACGGUUCAUCAACUCGGUCACUUCGGAGUGUGGUGCGAGGCCUUCGCCGUAGAUUUCGGUCACGUGCAAAUUCCACACAAUAUGAACGUACCGCCGUCCCUCAAGAUGCUGGGAGUCUCGCCGCAGGGGGAUAGAAGGAUCGACUCGUUCGUGCGCUACUGACCGCGAACGCGUGAUUUCCCAUCCUCCCUGAGUGUCAUCCGCCCCGUGUGUGAAUACACGAAGAUGCCCUCCGCUUGCCGCACCGCUCUCACCGCAAUUUAGGAAAUUUCGAAUUUUCCGACGUUUACCUCUCGCAGCCACGCUGUUUUAAACGAUGCUUUGCCUUGGAUCUGUUGUUUCACACGGAGAUACUAAAUGUUGUUUCGUUCAUUCUGAACCGCGCGGGUUUGUUUUUCAGGGAACAAAACGCGCAAGAUAUUAAACUAGAAUGUUGAAGUUGAGAUGAGAUUUUUCGUGUUCCGUUGAGAUGUCAUAUACGAGAAGAAAAAAGGUUUGCAUCGAGUAAAAUUGAGUAAAUUAGCAGCGUGUUAGAUUUUUAUUUGUUUUUUUUUAAUUACGCUGAAAACUUAUACUUAGCAGUUUCUUAUAUCUAUUGUUCAUGAAUUUGUCCGUCAAAUGUUUGAUAACCGUGGAAAAAUGAGGAAUUUCUUAAAUAUUCAUUUUUUACUUUAAUUAAUUUUUUAUAUUAAAGUUUUACUUAUUUUUAUAUCUGAGGAUUUACAAUUUUUUCUUCUGACGUAUGUAUGUAUAUAUCUAUACGGGUGGUAUGUAUACGUACGCGUAUAAUAUAUAUGUGUAUAUAUAUGUAUGCACACACAUAUUCGUUUACGCGCGCAUGUGUGUACUAUAUUUUUGAUAUUUUUGAUAUUUUUGUAUCCAUUUUCUACAUAUAUAUAUAUAUAUAUUAUGUAUUAUACAUUCUAAAUAAACGUAUUUUUUACAAUUGGAGCUUUGUAUAUAUUCCCAAGCAUGAUUUUAUAAUACUUAUAUCUUUUAGUAUUUUUUAGCACAUUUUAGUAAUUUUUAGUACAUUUGUUCUACAAGGGUCUUUCUCUCGUAAAUGUUAAAGUUAAAUGAAGUUUAAUUGACCCUCCAGCCUUUGUUUAAAAAAAAGUUAUAAAGAGAAAGUAAGAGAGAAUGCAAAUAUUAAUUAACAAUGAACUUUAAUUGACAUUUGUAACAGCGGUUCUGUAAGAAAGUUAUAUUUUACAAUGCUGGAUUAUUGCUUCCACUUGGAAUUGGCAGUAAAUUGUUGUUAGUCUUACGCACGUCUGUCCCAGAUAAAAAUCUCACGGUGUGAUUUCAGUCGAAACUUAACUGCGAAGUUCUCGAGGACAGCUUAGCUUUCGAGGUGCGAUGGGCCGUAGCCGGAGAUAGCAUAGUUGUCCAACUCGUUGCGAAACUAGAUAACGGACAAUACAUGUC